UUGUAGGAUAGGAUUCUCAGGUUCUGAGAUCAAUAUUUUCCUUUCUUUUUCAAAAACUUUUCAGGUAAUCCAUGCAAAUAUUUUUUCCUAGUUUUAUAUCAACCUCCUCCUUUAAAAACCAUACCCCACCCGGUAUCCUAUUGAGUUAUUUAACUACAUGCAGGUGUAAAAUGUACAUUAUAAUACCCCCCCCCUUGAAAAAAUCCUUCCACCCCUCAACAAAAAAAAAGAUACCCACUGUCCUGUCCACAAGUACCUGUGCAUGUGCAUUCCAAAAUGUAUGCAGAUAUAAAGAGGCUUACUUACAUCUGGAAUGCAAGACAGAAAGUCCUAGUCACUUCCCUAAAAUGAGUCGUACUGUACAUAUAUUUACAAAAUAUUUAUUAAUUCGAAAAUCUUUAUUAAAUGUUGUAUUCUAUACUCACAGGUAUAAUUUGCUGGUUAUAAGCAGAUCUAUGCACGGCACUCCAUUAUACCACAUUGAUAGCUUCUCAAAGAUUAUAAAUAUGAUACAUGUAAGCAGGCACAGUUACUUGUCAUCACAAGGACCAGAUUUCAAGUACCAGAGUAGUCCUAACUCCUAAAUUUUCCCAAUUUGUCAAAAGUACAUCUAGUGACACAAGAGAAGAAUGUGGAGUAAAUGCCAAUAAAGGCUGGACUGCAGGGGUAUACCUGACUUCUCGGCAAUUUCUGGUUAUCACCAUCCGAAUGACCGAUUCAGAGGAGAAGACCAACUUCAAGGUGACUCUUAUGCAUUGAGAUCUUUCGCUGAUGGACUCAAAUUGUUUAGGAAAAAAUCCAGCUACCACAGCCACAGAUUUCUGGCGUGUGUUCAGAAGGAACAUAGAUGCAAUUGAUGAAACAAUCUCCAGACAGAUGGGUGGCCCUUGAGCAGAGAAUGUUAAAAAGAAUUGAAGCAUUCAAUAAAGAAGAUUAAGAAACAGAAUGUGUCCAGUUGUUUGUUCAUCAAAAGAAUAACUUGGAUAAUCAUAGUGGUGCUUCCUCAAAAUCUGCAUGUGUUAAAAUUAAGCAGUUUCAAAUUAAGAUUUAGAUAAAGCUCAUUAAGUCAUUUGCUGGAUCAGAUUUUGAGAUUGUACUUAUUGCAUUUUUUUAAUACAGUAACAGUGAAACGUUGAUGAUUAGUUGUACAAAUUCAUAUACAGAUCUAAGUAUUAGAAUUUCCUAAUACUUUUCAUCAAAUGGAUUAAAAGAAUUGAAAGUCCAAUAUACUAGGAAAAAUAUAUAAAUUACAUCACAUGGAUUUGAUAUGA
Long non-coding RNA from Saccostrea cuccullata (small rock oyster), 1271 nucleotides. RefSeq lists it as uncharacterized. Lineage: Eukaryota; Metazoa; Mollusca; Bivalvia; Ostreida; Ostreidae. The record is from RefSeq and is a predicted model, not a curated record. The transcript is spliced from 5 exons.